Long non-coding RNA from Sander lucioperca (pikeperch), 246 nucleotides. RefSeq lists it as uncharacterized. NCBI's taxonomy places the organism in Eukaryota, Metazoa, Chordata, Actinopteri, Perciformes, Percidae. The transcript has 2 exons. The record is from RefSeq and is a predicted model, not a curated record.
GCUGCCUCGGACACAUCAACUGACCACCGGUGAUAGUCAGUCAAUAGACAACUGAAUCUAAGUUUCAUACGACUCUCUUCUUAUACAGAGUUUUGGGCGUUACAUCUUUAGAUGGACCUGAACUGGUGAUAUUUUUACUUCUAACAGUCCUCUCAUCUUCCUUUUCUUAAGUACACCUAGGUCGUUGUGACCCAGACAAUAACUACUAACAUACAUGCUAGUCAACAGAUGGUUUACUUCAAAUGA